Small nuclear RNA from Grammomys surdaster, 161 nucleotides. RefSeq annotates it as U1 spliceosomal RNA. The record is from RefSeq and is a predicted model, not a curated record. NCBI's taxonomy places the organism in Eukaryota, Metazoa, Chordata, Mammalia, Rodentia, Muridae. The transcript has a single exon.
CUACUUACUUGGCAGGGAAGAUACCAUAAUCAUGAAGGUGGCUCUCCUAGGGUAAGACUUAUACAUUGCCCACCAGAUGUGCUGACCCCUGCAAUUUCUGCACACUCUGCAAAAUUGCAUUCAUAAUUUGAGAUAGUGGAGAGCUGUUUUCAUGCUCUCCC